UGUUGAACGAAUGUUGUCUUCCAACUAGAUUAUUACCUUUUUAAUAUGUAAUAUAUGAUAUACGUCUUACAAUAUCUGGACUAAAUAUACGUAUUGGAGAGUAGGGACUCUGUCUUCCAGGCUCUCAUCUAAGUAUUGCUCCUAGGCGUCGAAAAAAAAGAAAGUGUUGUCUUCCUUGCCAUGUGUAUUCCAAUGUCUGGAAUCAAAAUAUUAAACAAUCCUUGCUUUAAAGUUUUUGCACAAUUGGAUGAAAAAUAACUUCUGGAUCAAGAAGUGUUUCAUCGGAAUUUAUUUAGAGGGCAAUAUUUUGGAUAAGUUACUGAACUAAAGGAUCCAAAAGGAAUAAAGAUUUGGAAAAAGUGAUUCAACCAAGUUUUGAAAAAUUUGACCAUAAUUUCUCUUCUGAAAAAGUUUAUUUGUAAUUAUGUUGUUAUUUAACUUGUAAUUAGUGUAAAAUAAACCUUUUUGAUGUUUUAACUUCUUUGUUUUCAUUGUUGACACUUCUGGAUAUUGUCUCUUCUUAUUUCUUAUGUAGACAUGCUCACAUAUUUUUUUGGUAAUAAUUUUUGAGCUAAAAUUCUUUCUCUCGAUAAAAUUGUUUUCGAGAUGCUUACCUUUAAUGGAUACUUAUGGUGUUUAAAAAUUAAUUUAUCCAUAAGUU
Molecule: long non-coding RNA, 661 nt
Organism: Uloborus diversus
Lineage: Eukaryota; Metazoa; Arthropoda; Arachnida; Araneae; Uloboridae
Exons: 3
Source: RefSeq, a predicted model, not a curated record